This 457-nucleotide ribosomal RNA is filed under the name uncultured Sphingobacteriales bacterium. RNAcentral describes it as "bacterial SSU rRNA". It matches the Rfam family "Bacterial small subunit ribosomal RNA", at positions 923 to 1382 of the family's 1533-position model. The record is from RNAcentral. Lineage: Bacteria; Pseudomonadati; Bacteroidota; Sphingobacteriia; Sphingobacteriales.
CCACAAGCGGCGGAGCAUGCGGCUUAAUUCGAUGCAACCCGAAGAACCUUACCUGGGCUUGACAUCAUGGGAAAAGCCGUAGAGAUACGGUGUGCAUUAGCGUCCAUGACAGGUGGUGCAUGGCUGUCGUCAGCUCGUGCCGUGAGGUGUUGGGUUAAGUCCCGUAACGAGCGCAACCCCUAUCAUUAGUUGCCAUCAGGUCAUGCUGGGGACUCUAAUGAGACUGCCCGCGCAAGCGGUGAGGAAGGUGGGGACGACGUCAAGUCAUCACGGCCCUUACGUCCAGGGCUACACACGUGCUACAAUGGUAGAUACAGCAGGUUGCCACAUGGUAACAUGGAGCUAAUCCCAAAAGUCUAUCUCAGUUCGGAUUGAGGUCUGCAACUCGACCUCAUGAAGCUGGAUUCGCUAGUAAUCGAAAAUCAGCAAUGUUUCGGUGAAUACGUUCCCGGGCCUU